UACGUAGGGUGCAAGCGUUAAUCGGAAUUACUGGGCGUAAAGCGUGCGCAGGCGGUUUUGUAAGUCAGAUGUGAAAUCCCCGGGCUUAACCUGGGAACUGCGUUUGAAACUACAAGGCUAGAGUGUGACAGAGGGGGGUGGAAUUCCACGUGUAGCAGUGAAAUGCGUAGAGAUGCGGAGGAACACCGAUGGCGAAGGCAGCCCCCUGGGCUAGCACUGACGCUCAGGCACGAAAGCGUGGGGAGCAAACAGG
Molecule: ribosomal RNA, 253 nt
Filed under: uncultured bacterium
Lineage: Bacteria
Description: partial 16S ribosomal RNA
Rfam family: Bacterial small subunit ribosomal RNA
Source: RNAcentral